Molecule: ribosomal RNA, 465 nt
Filed under: uncultured bacterium
Lineage: Bacteria
Description: partial 16S ribosomal RNA
Rfam family: Bacterial small subunit ribosomal RNA
Source: RNAcentral
GAUGAACGCUGGCGGCGUGCUUAACACAUGCAAGUCGAACGAUGAAGCCCAGCUUGCUGGGUGGAUUAGUGGCGAACGGGUGAGUAACACGUGAGUAACCUGCCCUUAACUCUGGGAUAAGCCUGGGAAACUGGGUCUAAUACCGGAUAGGAGCGUCCACCGCAUGGUGGGUGUUGGAAAAUUUUUCGGUGUUGGAUGGACCCGCGGCCUAUCAGCUUGUUGGUGAGGUAAUGGCUCACCAAGGCGACGACGGGUAGCCGGCCUGAGAGGGUGACCGGCCACACUGGGACUGAGACACGGCCCAGACUCCUACGGGAGGCAGCAGUGGGGAAUAUUGCACAAUGGGCGCAAGCCUGAUGCAGCGACGCCGCGUGAGGGAUGACGGCCUUCGGGUUGUAAACCUCUUUCAGUAGGGAAGAAGCGAAAGUGACGGUACCUGCAGAAGAAGCACCGGCUAACUACGUG